GAGUAGAAUGGCUGCUGCUACAAGUUGGACUGAAGCUAUGAUUAUACCUGUAUAUGUAAAACAUUCCUAAUCAAGAAAACCCAGCCUGUAGUAGACAAUGAAUCUGAGUGUAAAAGUGGAGAUGAAGUAGAGAGAUAACCUGUUUCUGUAAACUUUGUUGAUGCCCCUGAAAAAGUAACAUUUUAUUUUUAGAUUCUUAUGUUUUGAAUGCAUAUAAUACAUAUUACACCUGUAUAUAUAAAACAUUCCUAGUCAAGAAAACCCAUCCUGUAGAUAGGCAAUGAAUCUGAGUUAUAAAAGCGGAGAUAGGGUAUAGAGAGAACCUUUUUCUUUAAACUCUU
Molecule: unclassified non-coding RNA, 341 nt
Filed under: Hevea brasiliensis (rubber tree)
Lineage: Eukaryota; Viridiplantae; Streptophyta; Magnoliopsida; Malpighiales; Euphorbiaceae
Source: RNAcentral